This is a small nuclear RNA of Heterocephalus glaber (naked mole-rat), 104 nucleotides long. Lineage: Eukaryota; Metazoa; Chordata; Mammalia; Rodentia; Bathyergidae. The record is from Ensembl.
GUGCUCGCUUGGGCAGCACAUAUACUAAAAUUGGAAAGAUACAGAGAAGAUUAGCAUGGCCCCUGCACAAGGACCCACAAAUUCAUGAAGCAUUCCACAUAAAA